GAUGAACGCUGGCGGCGUGCCUAACACGUGCAAGUCGAGCGAUUCUCUUCGGAGAAGAGCGGCGGACGGGUGAGUAACGCGUGGGUAACCUGCCCUGUACACACGGAUAACAUACCGAAAGGUAUGCUAAUACGGGAUAACAUAAGAAAUUCGCAUGUUUUUCUUAUCAAAGCUCCGGCGGUACAGGAUGGACCCGCGUCUGAUUAGCUAGUUGGUGAGGUAACGGCUCACCAAGGCGACGAUCAGUAGCCGACCUGAGAGGGUGAUCGGCCACAUUGGAACUGAGACACGGUCCAAACUCCUACGGGAGGCAGCAGUGGGGAAUAUUGCACAAUGGGCGAAAGCCUGAUGCAGCAACGCCGCGUGAGCGAUGAAGGCCUUCGGGUCGCAAAGCUCUGUCCUCAAGGAAGAUAAUGACGGUA
RNAcentral lists this ribosomal RNA (422 nucleotides) under uncultured bacterium. RNAcentral describes it as "bacterial SSU rRNA". It matches the Rfam family "Bacterial small subunit ribosomal RNA", at positions 28 to 477 of the family's 1533-position model. The record is from RNAcentral.